UAGGGAAUCUUCCGCAAUGGACGAAAGUCUGACGGAGCAACGCCGCGUGAGUGAAGAAGGAUUUCGGUUCGUAAAACUCUGUUGUUAGGGAAGAAAAAAUGUAUAGUAACUAUAUACAAAAGAGACGGUACCUAACCAGAAAGCCACGGCUAACUACGUGCCAGCAGCCGCGGUAAUACGUAGGUGGCAAGCGUUGUCCGGAAUUAUUGGGCGUAAAGCGCGCGCAGGUGGUUUAGAAAGUCUGAUGUGAAAGCCCACGGCUCAACCGUGGAGGGUCAUUGGAAACUAAUAAACUUGAGUGCAGGAGAGAAAAGUGGAAUUCCUAGUGUAGCGGUGAAAUGCGUAGAGAUUAGGAGGAACACCGGUGGCGAAAGCGGUUGUUUGGCCUGCAACUGACACUGAGGCGCGAAAGCGUGGGGAGCAAACAGG
RNAcentral lists this ribosomal RNA (429 nucleotides) under Verrucomicrobiota bacterium. RNAcentral's name for it is "Verrucomicrobia bacterium partial 16S ribosomal RNA". It matches the Rfam family "Bacterial small subunit ribosomal RNA", at positions 355 to 776 of the family's 1533-position model. Lineage: Bacteria; Pseudomonadati; Verrucomicrobiota. The record is from RNAcentral.